UGUUGAUAAUGUGGACAAUCCUAAAGAAGAACUUUGAACCUCUCCCAUGCAUGAUAUAAGUUCUCAUCUGGCUUUUGUUUGAAGCAUACAAUCUCACUGUGCAGUCU
This is a non-coding RNA of Capsicum annuum, 107 nucleotides long. NCBI's taxonomy places the organism in Eukaryota, Viridiplantae, Streptophyta, Magnoliopsida, Solanales, Solanaceae. The record is from Rfam.